RNAcentral lists this ribosomal RNA (253 nucleotides) under uncultured bacterium. RNAcentral's name for it is "partial 16S ribosomal RNA". It matches the Rfam family "Bacterial small subunit ribosomal RNA", at positions 524 to 776 of the family's 1533-position model. The record is from RNAcentral.
UACAGAGGGUGCAAGCGUUGUUCGGAAUUACUGGGCGUAAAGGGCUCGUAGGUGGCCAACUAAGUCAGACGUGAAAUCCCUCGGCUUAACCGGGGAACUGCGUCUGAUACUGGAUGGCUUGAGAUUGGGAGAGGGAUGCGGAAUUCCAGGUGUAGCGGUGAAAUGCGUAGAUAUCUGGAGGAACACCGGUGGCGAAGGCGGCAUCCUGGACCAACACUGACGCUGAGGAGCGAAAGCCAGGGGAGCAAACGGG